RNAcentral lists this ribosomal RNA (2908 nucleotides) under Salmonella enterica subsp. enterica serovar Goldcoast. RNAcentral describes it as "23S ribosomal RNA". It matches the Rfam family "Bacterial large subunit ribosomal RNA". Lineage: Bacteria; Pseudomonadati; Pseudomonadota; Gammaproteobacteria; Enterobacterales; Enterobacteriaceae. The record is from RNAcentral.
GGUUAAGCGACUAAGCGUACACGGUGGAUGCCCUGGCAGUCAGAGGCGAUGAAGGGCGUGCUAAUCUGCGAUAAGCGCCGGUAAGGUGAUAUGAACCGUUAUAACCGGCGAUACCCGAAUGGGGAAACCCAGUGUGACUCGUCACACUAUCAUUAACUGAAUCCAUAGGUUAAUGAGGCGAACCGGGGGAACUGAAACAUCUAAGUACCCCGAGGAAAAGAAAUCAACCGAGAUUCCCCCAGUAGCGGCGAGCGAACGGGGAGUAGCCCAGAGCCUGAAUCAGCAUGUGUGUUAGUGGAAGCGUCUGGAAAGGCGCGCGAUACAGGGUGACAGCCCCGUACACAAAAGCGCAUGUGCUGUGAGCUCGAUGAGUAGGGCGGGACACGUGGUAUCCUGUCUGAAUAUGGGGGGACCAUCCUCCAAGGCUAAAUACUCCUGACUGACCGAUAGUGAACCAGUACCGUGAGGGAAAGGCGAAAAGAACCCCGGCGAGGGGAGUGAAAAAGAACCUGAAACCGUGUACGUACAAGCAGUGGGAGCACAGGUUUACCUGUGUGACUGCGUACCUUUUGUAUAAUGGGUCAGCGACUUAUAUUCUGUAGCAAGGUUAACCGUAUAGGGGAGCCGUAGGGAAACCGAGUCUUAACCGGGCGUUAAGUUGCAGGGUAUAGACCCGAAACCCGGUGAUCUAGCCAUGGGCAGGUUGAAGGUUGGGUAACACUAACUGGAGGACCGAACCGACUAAUGUUGAAAAAUUAGCGGAUGACCUGUGGCUGGGGGUGAAAGGCCAAUCAAACCGGGAGAUAGCUGGUUCUCCCCGAAAGCUAUUUAGGUAGCGCCUCGUGAAUUCAUCUCCGGGGGUAGAGCACUGUUUCGGCUAGGGGGCCAUCCCGGCUUACCAACCCGAUGCAAACUGCGAAUACCGGAGAAUGUUAUCACGGGAGACACACGGCGGGUGCUAACGUCCGUCGUGAAGAGGGAAACAACCCAGACCGCCAGCUAAGGUCCCAAAGUCAUGGUUAAGUGGGAAACGAUGUGGGAAGGCCCAGACAGCCAGGAUGUUGGCUUAGAAGCAGCCAUCAUUUAAAGAAAGCGUAAUAGCUCACUGGUCGAGUCGGCCUGCGCGGAAGAUGUAACGGGGCUAAACCAUGCACCGAAGCUGCGGCAGCGACGCUGAUGCGUUGUUGGGUAGGGGAGCGUUCUGUAAGCCUGCGAAGGUGGCCUGUGAGGGUUGCUGGAGGUAUCAGAAGUGCGAAUGCUGACAUAAGUAACGAUAAAGCGGGUGAAAAGCCCGCUCGCCGGAAGACCAAGGGUUCCUGUCCAACGUUAAUCGGGGCAGGGUGAGUCGACCCCUAAGGCGAGGCCGAAAGGCGUAGUCGAUGGGAAACGGGUUAAUAUUCCCGUACUUGGUGUUACUGCGAAGGGGGGACGGAGAAGGCUAUGUUGGCCGGGCGACGGUUGUCCCGGUUUAAGCGUGUAGGUGUGUGUUCCAGGUAAAUCCGGUUCACUUUAACACUGAGGCGUGAUGACGAGGCACUACGGUGCUGAAGCAACAAAUGCCCUGCUUCCAGGAAAAGCCUCUAAGCAUCAGGUAACAUCAAAUCGUACCCCAAACCGACACAGGUGGUCAGGUAGAGAAUACCAAGGCGCUUGAGAGAACUCGGGUGAAGGAACUAGGCAAAAUGGUGCCGUAACUUCGGGAGAAGGCACGCUGACACGUAGGUGAAGUGAUUUACUCAUGGAGCUGAAGUCAGUCGAAGAUACCAGCUGGCUGCAACUGUUUAUUAAAAACACAGCACUGUGCAAACACGAAAGUGGACGUAUACGGUGUGACGCCUGCCCGGUGCCGGAAGGUUAAUUGAUGGGGUCAGCGCAAGCGAAGCUCCUGAUCGAAGCCCCGGUAAACGGCGGCCGUAACUAUAACGGUCCUAAGGUAGCGAAAUUCCUUGUCGGGUAAGUUCCGACCUGCACGAAUGGCGUAAUGAUGGCCAGGCUGUCUCCACCCGAGACUCAGUGAAAUUGAACUCGCUGUGAAGAUGCAGUGUACCCGCGGCAAGACGGAAAGACCCCGUGAACCUUUACUAUAGCUUGACACUGAACAUUGAGCCUUGAUGUGUAGGAUAGGUGGGAGGCUUUGAAGUGUGGACGCCAGUCUGCAUGGAGCCGACCUUGAAAUACCACCCUUUAAUGUUUGAUGUUCUAACGUGGACCCGUAAUCCGGGUUGCGGACAGUGUCUGGUGGGUAGUUUGACUGGGGCGGUCUCCUCCUAAAGAGUAACGGAGGAGCACGAAGGUUGGCUAAUCCUGGUCGGACAUCAGGAGGUUAGUGCAAUGGCAUAAGCCAGCUUGACUGCGAGCGUGACGGCGCGAGCAGGUGCGAAAGCAGGUCAUAGUGAUCCGGUGGUUCUGAAUGGAAGGGCCAUCGCUCAACGGAUAAAAGGUACUCCGGGGAUAACAGGCUGAUACCGCCCAAGAGUUCAUAUCGACGGCGGUGUUUGGCACCUCGAUGUCGGCUCAUCACAUCCUGGGGCUGAAGUAGGUCCCAAGGGUAUGGCUGUUCGCCAUUUAAAGUGGUACGCGAGCUGGGUUUAGAACGUCGUGAGACAGUUCGGUCCCUAUCUGCCGUGGGCGCUGGAGAACUGAGGGGGGCUGCUCCUAGUACGAGAGGACCGGAGUGGACGCAUCACUGGUGUUCGGGUUGUCAUGCCAAUGGCACUGCCCGGUAGCUAAAUGCGGAAGAGAUAAGUGCUGAAAGCAUCUAAGCACGAAACUUGCCCCGAGAUGAGUUCUCCCUGAGACUUAAAGUCUCCUGAAGGAACGUUGAAGACGACGACGUUGAUAGGCCGGGUGUGUAAGCGCAGCGAUGCGUUGAGCUAACCGGUACUAAUGAACCGUGAGGCUUAACCUU